GGGUGCUCGAGUGGCGAACGGGUGAGUAACACGUGAGUAACCUGCCCUUGACUUUGGGAUAACUUCAGGGAACUGGGGCUAAUACCGGAUAGGAGCUCCUGCUGCAUGGUGGGGGUUGGAAAGUUUCGGCGGUUGGGGAUGGACUCGCGGCUUAUCAGCUUGUUGGUGGGGUAGUGGCUUACCAAGGCUUUGACGGGUAGCCGGCCUGAGAGGGUGACCGGCCACAUUGGGACUGAGAUACGGCCCAG
This 248-nucleotide ribosomal RNA is filed under the name uncultured Actinomycetales bacterium. Its description in RNAcentral is "partial 16S ribosomal RNA". It matches the Rfam family "Bacterial small subunit ribosomal RNA", at positions 85 to 334 of the family's 1533-position model. The record is from RNAcentral. Lineage: Bacteria; Bacillati; Actinomycetota; Actinomycetes; Actinomycetales.